GAAUUCGCCCUUAGAGUUCGUUUCUGGCUCAGGAUGAACGCUAGCGACAGGCCUAACACAUGCAAGUCGAGGGGUAACAGGGGCUUCGGCCCGCUGACGACCGGCGCACGGGUGAGUAACACGUGGGCAACCUGCCUCAUAGAGGGGAAUAGCCUUCCGAAAGGGAGAUUAAUACCGCAUAAGAUUGUAGUACCGCAUGGUACAGCAAUUAAAGGAGCAAUCCGCUAUGAGAUGGGCCCGCGGCGCAUUAGCUAGUUGGUGAGGUAACGGCUCACCAAGGCGACGAUGCGUAGCCGACCUGAGAGGGUGAUCGGCCACAUUGGGACUGAGACACGGCCCAGACUCCUACGGGAGGCAGCAGUGGGGAAUAUUGCACAAUGGGGGAAACCCUGAUGCAGCAACGCCGCGUGAGUGAUGACGGCCUUCGGGUUGUAAAGCUCUGUCUUCAGGGACGAUAAUGACGGUACCUGAGGAGGAAGCCACGGCUAACUACGUGCCAGCAGCCGCGGUAAUACGUAGGUGGCGAGCGUUGUCCGGAUUUACUGGGCGUAAAGGGAGCGUAGGCGGAUUUUUAAGUGAGAUGUGAAAUACUCGGGCUUAACCGGAGUGCUGCAUUUCAAACUGGAAGUCUAGAGUGCAGGAGAGGAGAAGGGAAUUCCUAGUGUAGCGGUGAAACGCGUAGAGAAAAGGAAGAACACCAGUGGCGAAGGCGCUUCUCUGGACUGUAACUGACGCCGAGGCUCGAAAGCGUGGGGAGAAAACAGGAUUAGAUACCCUAGUAGUCCACGCCGUAAACGAUGGAUAGUAAGUGUGGGGAUAGAAUCUCAGUGCUGUAGUUAACGCAAUAAGUAUCCCGCCUGGGGAGUAUGCGCGCAAGCGUAAAACUCAAAGGAAUUGACGGGGGCCCGCACAAGCGGUGGAGUAUGUGGUUUAAUUCGAUGCAACGCGAAGAACCUUACCUGGUCUUGACAUACCACGCAAAAGCUUAGAGAUAAGUAAUAGUUAUGGUGGAUACAGGUGGUGCAUGGUUGUCGUCAGCUCGUGUCGUGAGAUGUUGGGUUAAGUCCCGCAACGAGCGCAACCCUUGUCAUUAGUUGCCAUCAGGUCAAGCUGGGGACUUUAAUGAGACUGCCACCGUAAGGUGUGAGGAAGGGGGGGAUGACGUCAAAUCAGCACGGCCCUUAUGUCCGGGGCGACACACGUGUUACAAUGGGAGGUACAGAGGGCAGCUAUCCGGUGACGGAAUGCUAAUCUCCAAAACCUUUCUCAGUUCGGAUUGGAGUCUGCAACUCGACUCCAUGAAGGUGGAUUCGCUAGUAAUCGCGCAUCAGCCAUGGCGCGGUGAAUAAAAAACCGGGCCUUG
RNAcentral lists this ribosomal RNA (1363 nucleotides) under uncultured bacterium. Its description in RNAcentral is "partial 16S ribosomal RNA". It matches the Rfam family "Bacterial small subunit ribosomal RNA". The record is from RNAcentral.